Molecule: long non-coding RNA, 4200 nt
Filed under: Nicotiana tabacum (common tobacco)
Lineage: Eukaryota; Viridiplantae; Streptophyta; Magnoliopsida; Solanales; Solanaceae
Description: long non-coding RNA (NTAB_LNC000707)
Source: RNAcentral
CCGAACGACAAAACUGAAAGUAAAACUCCAAGCAUUACAAACAAUAAUGCUGCUCACUUUUCAGAAGUUGAGGAAAACCCUGAAGAACCUGCAGUAAAAGAAAAAACUGAAAAACCAGUUCUUGAAGAGAAACCUGAAGAACCAACAGUUGAAGAGAAAUCUGAAGAACCAGUUGAGGAGAAACCUGAAGAACCAACAGCUGAAGAGAAACCUGAAGAACCAGCAACUAAAGAAAAACAAGUGCUAGUAGGGGAGGAAACAGCUGAAGAACUAGCGCUUGAAGAGAAACCUGAAGAACUAACGAUUGAACAGACAGAUGAAGAACUAGUUGUUGAAGAUAAAACUGAAAAACCACCAAAUAAAGAGGAGAGACCUGAAACGGUAACUCUCCUUUAGCAGUGUCACAGAGUUUAUCCAUCCUAUUAGUUCUAUAUGUGCAACGAAUUCAUAUCUGUUUAUCUAUUGAAAUACUAAGUGAAAAUUCAAAUUUUCUUGCAGAAUUUGCCCAUUGCAGACUCAAAGGACCAGACUGACAAUGCAAUUCCAUGCGAUACCAACAAUGAUAUUGCUGACUAUGCAACAGUUGAGGAAAAACCUGAAGAAACAGUAGUUGAAGAAAAACAUGAAGAACCUGCAAUUGAAAAGAAAUUUGAAGAAUCAACAGUUAUGGAGAAACCUGAAGAACCAGCAGUGGAAGAAAAACCUGAAGAACCAACAGUUAAAGAGGAACCUGAAAAAUCAGUGAUGGAAGAGAAACCUGAAGAACCAAUUGUUGAGGAGAAACUUGAAGAACCAACUGUUGAAGAGAAACCUGAAAAAUCACUGAUUGAAGAAACACCUGAAGAACCAAUAUGGGAAGAAACACCUAAAGAACUAGCAUUUGAAGAGAAACCAGAAGAACCAGCAGUUGAAGAGGAGAAACCUGAAAAGGUAACUCUUUUGGAAGAGGUGAGUAUCAAGCAUUAGCACAUAGUUUAUCCAUCAUGUUAUUUCUGUAUGUGCAUCGAUUCACAUCUGCUUAUCUAUUGAAAGUCUAAAUGAGACUUUAAAUUCUUCUUGCAGAAUAUACCAGCUGUAGAUUUCAACGACAAGACUGACCGUGAAAUUCCAUGCGAUACCAACAAUGAUAUUGCUGACUAUGCAACAGUUGAGGAAAAACCUGAAGAACCGGUAGUUGAAGAAAAACAUGAAGAACCUGCAAUUGAAAAGAAAUUUGAAGAAUCAACGGUUAUGGAGAAACCUGAAAAACCAGUGGUUAAGGUACAACCUGAAGAACCAGCAGUGGAAGAAAAAGUUGAAGAACCAACAGUUAAUGAGGAACCUGAAAAAUCAGCGAUGGAAGAGAACCCUGAAGAAUCAAUUGUUGAGGAGAAACUUGAAGAACCAACUGUUGAAGAGAAACCUGAAAAAUCACUGAUUGAAGAAACACCUGAAGAACCAAUAUGGAAAGAAACACCUAAAGAACUAGCAUUUGAAGAGCAACCAGAAGAACCAGCAGUUGAAGAGGAGAAACCUGAAAAGGUAUCUCUUUUGGAAGAGGUGAGUAUCAAGCAUUAUCACAUAGUUUAUCCAUCCUGUUAUUUCUGUAUGUGCGACGAUUCACAUCUGCUUAUCUAUUGAAAGACUAAAUGAGACUUUAAAUUCUUCUUGCAGAAUAUGCCAGCUGUAGAUUUCAACGACAAGACUGACUGUGAAAUUCCAUGCAAUACCAACAAUGAUGUUGCUGAAUAUGUAGCAAUUGAGGAAAACCUUGAAGAACCAGCAGUUGAAGAAAAACAUGAAGAACCAACAGUUGAGGAGAAACCUGAAGAACUAGCAGUUGAAGAGAAACCCGAAAAACCAACAAUUGAGGAGAAACAUGAAGAACCAAUAGUUGAGAAGAAACCUGAAGAACCAGUAGUUGAGGAGAAACCAGAAGAACCACUAAUUGAAGAGGAGAAAUCUGAAAGGGUAACUUUCCUAGAAAAGGUGAGGAUCAAGCAUUGUCAAAAGGUUUAUCCAUCUUAUUAGUUGUGUAUGUGCGACGAUUCACAUCUGCUUACUUAUUGAAAGACUAAGUGAAACUUCAAAAUUCUUGCAGAGUAUGCUAGUUGUAGACUCGAACGACAAGACUGACAGUGAAAUUCCAUGCAAUACCAACAAAGAUGCUGCCCACUUUCCCGAAGUUGAGGCAAACCCUGAAGAACCAGCAGUUGAAGGAAAACCUAAAGAACCCGUUGAUGAAGAGAAACCAGAUGUACCAGUGGUUGAGAAACCUGAAAAACAAAUGGUUGAGGAGAAACUUGAAGAACCAAUGAUUGAGGAGAAAUCUGACGAACUAGUCGAGGAGAAAUCUCAACAACCAGCGGCUGAAAAGAAACCUGAAGAACCAGCAGCUAAAGAAUCACUUAAAGAGCUAGCAGGGGAGGAAACAACUGAAGAACUAGCACUUGAAGAGAAACUUAGAGAACCAACAGUUGAAGAACUAGUUCUUGAAGAUAAACCUGAAAACCCAGAAAAUGAAGAGGAUAAACUUGAAACAGUAACUCUCCAGGAAAAGGUAAGAAACAAGCAGUGUCACAGAGUUUAUCCAUCCUAUUAGCUCUACAUAUGCAAUGAAUUCACAUCUGUUUAUCCACUGAAAGACUAAGUGAAACUUUAAAUUUUUCUUGCAGAAUUUACCAAUUGCAGACUCAAACGACAAGACUGACAAUGCAACUCCCUGCAAUAACAACAAUGAUAUUGCUGACUCUGCAGCAGUUAAGGAAAAAACUGAAGAACCAGUAGUUGAGGAAAAACAUGAAGAACCGGCAACUGAAGAGAAAUCUGAAGAAUCAGAAUUUAUGAAAAAAACUGAAGAACCAGCGGUUGAGGUAAAACCUGAAGAACCAUCAGUGGAAGAGAAGCCUGAAGAACCAGCGGUUAGGAAAAAUCCUGAAGAACCAGCAGUUAAUGAGGAACCUGCAAAAUCAGCAACGGAAGAGAAACCUGAAGAACCAAUUGCUGAGGAGAAACUUGAAGAACCAACUCUUAAAGAGAAACCUGGAAAACCAGUAAUUGAAGAAACACCUGAAGAACCAACACUGGAAGUAACACCUAAAGAACAAGCAGAGAAACCUGAAGAACCAGUUGAAGAGGAAAAAACUGACAAGGUAACUCUUUUGGAAAAGGUGAGCAUCAAACACUGUCACAAAUUUUUGCCAUCAUAUUAGUUCUGUAUGUGCAACAAUUCACAUCUAAUUAUCCAUUGAAAGACUAAGUGAAACUUUAAUUCUUCUUGCAGAAUAUACCAGUUGUAGAUUUCAAUGAUACGACUGACAGUGAAAUUCCAUGCAAUACCAACGACGAUGUUGCUGAAGACGUAGCAGUUGAGGAAAACCUUGAAGAACCAUCAGUUGAGGAGAAACCUGAAGAAUUAGCGGUUGAAGAGAAACCUGAAAAACCAGCAAUUGAGGAGAAACGUGAAGAACCAAUAAUUGAGAAGAAACCUAAAGAACCAGCAGUUGAGGAGAAACCUGAAGAACAAACCGUUGAAGAGAGACUUGAAGAACCAACAAUUGAAGAUGAGAAACUUGAAGAACCAACAAAUGAAGAUGAGAAACUUGAAAGGGUAACUCUCCUAGGAAAGGUGAGGAUCUAGCACUGUCACAAAGUUUGUCCAUCCUAAUAGUUUUAUACGUGCAAGACUUUCAGAUCUGCUUAUUGAAAAACUAAAUGAAACUUUAAAUUCUUCUUACAGAAUAUGCAAGUUGUAGACUCCAUCGACAAGACUGACUGUGAAAUUCCAUGCAACACCAACAAUGAUGUUGCUUACCAUCCAGCAGUUGAGGAAAAUCUAGAAAAAACAGCAAUUGUGGAAACAACUGAUGAACCAGUGGUUGAAGAGAAACCUGAUGUACCAGCGAUUAAGGAGAAACCUGAAGUACCAAAUAUUGAGCAGAAACUUGAAGAGUUAGCAGGAGAGGAAACACAUGAAGAACUAGCAGUUGAAGAGAAACUAGAAGAACCAAUUACUGAAGAGACACCUGCAGAACUAGUUAUAGAAGAGAAACCUGAAAACCCAGCAGUUGAAGAGGAGAAACCUGAAACAGACGCUCUCCAAACGAAGGUCAGGAUUAAACAUUGUCACAAAAUUUAUCCAUCCUAUUAGCUUUAUAUGUGCAAGGAACUCACAUAUGCUAAUCUAUUGAAAGACUAAGUCAAACUUUAAAUUUUUCUUGC